UAUAUAUAUAUAUAUGCUGUUUUAAGAAGCUUUGAAAUUGUGUUGAUGGUUUGUUGAAGGUAGAUUAGGGUUUUUACUAAUUAAUGAUUUUAUAUGAUUAAGGAAGUAAGAAAAAUUUAGGAUGAGUAUUUUUGAUGCUGCUGCUGGGAUUUUUGUUGUGUGUAUCUUUGCUUUAAAUGGUUAAAUGACUAUGUAUAAGUGUUUUAUAACAUGUCUUAUGAGUGUAUAAAAAUCCCCAUAUGAAAAUACCAUUGUUUGGUAAUUGUUUAUGAAUUUAUGAUAAAAUGUUGCAAAGCUGUCACUGUGACAGAUUCUGUGUUUAUGCAUGAUAAAUUAUGUAUUAAAUUGCAUAUAGUGAAUUUGGAUGCUAGGGAUAAUUCCUAUGAAACCUAAGACACUUGUGGCUGUUAUAGAAGUGGUCUCACAGAAUUUGGAUGAACAUAAAAAUAAUGGUUUAAUUUAUAAUUUGCAUGAAUUUCAGACAGGACAGAUUUGAGUAUGCUGUAUUACGUGAUUUUUAGUAAAUCAUGGGUUUAUGCUUUGACUCCGAAAUUUUUAUGGUAUAUACUGAACAUACAGGAGAGUAGUUCUGUAAAUUUUCAUGACAAUUGGAUGUGUUUGAGCAGCCCGUUUGUAUUUUACAAAUGGAGCCUAUGCUGCUGGAACAGAACAAUGAGUAGUAAGGGACAUGCCUAACUUUGUGGAUUUAAUUAUCAAGUUAGGGUGAAUGUUUUGAGCUAUAAUUUAAUAUGCUUAUCUUUUGGUAUGUCUAGAUCAUAGAUUAAAUUUGUGUAACUUGUUUUGAGGUUUAGAACUCAAAGGAAGGGGUUCUAAUCCAUGAGACGGUUGUAUGUAUGAAGCUGUUUUGCCCGACGUGUUGUAUGUUAUCAUAUGAAUGUAUAUAGUUACAUGAUCAUGCUUAAAAGAUUUUAUAUUUAUGCAUGCAUUAUUGCCCUAACCUUAAAGCACCUUUUGAAAUAAAGUUAGCUCUUUUAGAGAUAUGGGAUUAAUAUAAGAAUGUUGGUUUCUCUAGGAUUUUGUACUUGUUGUUGAUGAAUGUAUUUUUGUUUGUGGGAACCUCGUUGAGGUGGGAUUAGGAUUUCCUUAAUUCUAAGAAAUAGGCUUUGAGUUGAUUGUGUAAGUCUAUGACAAGGAAAUUAUGGAUAGUAAUAAGCUUCGAUUUAUGGUUUAGGUGUUACCAGUAUCCAAGUCUAAGCUCCUUCGACUUUAGGCUCUCGGUUCCUCUGCUUUCAGUUAGCAGGUUUUAUUUUGGAGCAGAGGGAGCCUUAGUCGAGUUUUGAAAGGAGCUGGUUUUAGUUUGAUAUGUAUAGAUCUUAAAUUAGCAUUCUGACGUUUAGCUUUAUAGUUAUUGUGUAUUUUAGGAUCAAAUGAAAGUUGUGUAUACCUUAAAGUAUCAAGCUAUGUAUUAUGUAAAAGUGUGGAAAGUAAAUGAUCGGUGGAUUAUGUUAUUCUUUGGAGUACAAUGUAGAUGCUCUGAAUGUCAAGUCAAAGGUUAUAUAAUUUAAGUAAAGAAACAAGGAUUGAAAAGAAAA
Molecule: long non-coding RNA, 1553 nt
Organism: Quercus lobata
Lineage: Eukaryota; Viridiplantae; Streptophyta; Magnoliopsida; Fagales; Fagaceae
Exons: 2
Source: RefSeq, a predicted model, not a curated record